GAAAGGUUAUGGGAAUGUUUUGGCUGUAUGGCUGUACGAGAUAAUUUGCAUAACAGAUUGCUAAUAUUUACAAUUGUCGACAUAUUAUAUUAGCCAAGCUCAAUAUAAUGCAAGGAGAGAUUUCUGUACUAGCAUUUCACUCCGCAAAAGAUGAACUUGAAUCUGGCGCCAUUGACAUUUUGCCUCCGUUGGCAGGCCUGCGUCUAGUCGAGUGUCGGUGAAGAAAUUUUAUCCAACAUAAUGGAGAGCCAUGUGAAUGUUUUGCCGAACAAAAUCAUCCUACAUUUUAUAGCCAUGCAAGGUACACUGAGUAAUAAUUUUUAGCAAGUAAGUGCUUGCAAGUUUUUUUUAUUGCGAUGGAUAUAAUCGUGAUUAGUAUUAUCA
Ctenocephalides felis (cat flea) is the source of this 384-nucleotide long non-coding RNA. RefSeq lists it as uncharacterized. NCBI's taxonomy places the organism in Eukaryota, Metazoa, Arthropoda, Insecta, Siphonaptera, Pulicidae. The transcript has 3 exons. The record is from RefSeq and is a predicted model, not a curated record.